Molecule: ribosomal RNA, 491 nt
Filed under: uncultured bacterium
Lineage: Bacteria
Description: bacterial SSU rRNA
Rfam family: Bacterial small subunit ribosomal RNA
Source: RNAcentral
AACGAACGCUGGCGGCGCGCCUAAUACAUGCAAGUCGAGCGAGAAGGUGUAGCAAUACACUUGUAAAGCGGCGAACGGGUGAGGAAUACAUGGGUAAUCUACCAUCGAGUGGGGAAUAACCAACCGAAAGGUUGGCUAAUACCGCGUACGCCUCCGGAUCUUCGGGUUCGGAGGGAAAGCUGCACUGUGAGUGUAGCGCUCUUUGAUGAGCUCAUGUCCUAUCAGCUUGUUGGUAGGGUAACGGCCUACCAAGGCUUUGACGGGUAGCUGGUCUGAGAGGACGAUCAGCCACACUGGCACUGCGACACGGGCCAGACUCCUACGGGAGGCAGCAGUAAGGAAUAUUGCGCAAUGGGCGAAAGCCUGACGCAGCGACGCCGCGUGGGGAUGAAGGUCUUCGGAUUGUAAACCCUUCGGAGGGAAGAUGGAGCGAGCAAUCGUUCGGACGGUACCUCCAGAAGCAGCCACGGCCAACUUCGUGCCAGCAGCCG